RNAcentral lists this unclassified non-coding RNA (314 nucleotides) under plant metagenome. RNAcentral's name for it is "partial contains 5.8S ribosomal RNA, internal transcribed spacer 2, and large subunit ribosomal RNA". The stretch from base 1 to 105 matches the Rfam family "5.8S ribosomal RNA", at positions 50 to 154 of the family's 154-position model. The record is from RNAcentral.
GAAAUGCGAUAAUUAAUGUGAAUUGCAGAAUUCGGUGAAUCAUCGAGUCUUUGAACGCACAUUGCGCCCCCUGGUAUUCCGGGGGGCAUGCCUGUCCGAGCGUCAUUGCUGCCCUCAAGCACGGCUUGUGUGUUGGGCUUCCGUCCCUGGCAACGGGGACGGGCCCAAAAGGCAGUGGCGGCACCAUGUCUGGUCCUCGAGCGUAUGGGGCUUUGUCACCCGCUCCCGUAGGUCCAGCUGGCAGCUAGCCUCGCAACCAAUCUUUUUAACCAGGUUGACCUCGGAUCAGGUAGUGAUACCCGCUGAACUUAAGC